AACGUCCCGUAGUCUUUAUAACUCUAAUGGCUCGCUGUGAGCCGUGAGGAAGGCCAGGAAGGUGAUCAGCUGUGCCUUGUGUCAAAUUACCUUUCCCUUCACUCAGACGUCAUUACCUUGUGGCUGCGGCGUCUCUUUCUGCUGUCAUGAUUGUCGAGAUAUGGAGAAAGAGAGAUCAGUCAAAGAGGAGGAGGAAGAGGUACAGGAAGAUAAGAAGAAGAAAAAUGAAUGAAGAGAAAAAAGGAAAGUCUCCAAAUGAGGCAGAUGUCAGCAGGCAGGUCACCACCACCACCACCACCACCAGCUUAGGAAGCAGGGCAACCUUCAGGUGAAACACACCACCCAGUCACUCACUGCUGGUGUGGACGGGAGAAGCGCUGGUGUGGUGAUCUUUCUCCUAAAGUAUGGUGAGCAGCACUACACAAGGUUGUCACAGCGAUGGGAGGAGAGGUUGAUGUUCUUCCCAUACACCGUCUUGACCUGUUCGAUGCCAAACUGGCCGUACACAAACACACACUCCGAGGUGUAGCCAAGAGUGCGGAGGGAAUACAGGGAAGACAGGACCAUUGCUGGCCCACCGCACAUCACAAUCUGUGAGGCAAGAAACAUCCUUUUCUAACAAUCAGGCACCUUGCCCAGUGUGUACACCAUCUGCAGCCUGCUGUCCUGGUCUGCCAAGGAGAACACAAUAUCGAGAUAUGUGGUCUUGUUGGCGUGGUGGAACACUAAAGGCGGGAGAUAUCUUACUAAAGACACAUGAAGCGAAGCCUAGAUGGUGUCAGAACUGACAAGGGAUGGAGCAAGUAAUGAGAGAAGGAGUCUUGGAUAUAUGGAAAU
Portunus trituberculatus (swimming crab) is the source of this 837-nucleotide long non-coding RNA. RefSeq lists it as uncharacterized. Lineage: Eukaryota; Metazoa; Arthropoda; Malacostraca; Decapoda; Portunidae. The transcript has 6 exons. The record is from RefSeq and is a predicted model, not a curated record.